GUGCUCACCUUGACAGCACAGACACUAAAACUGGAAGGUCUAUAGAUAAAGUUAGCAUGACCCCUUCCCAAGGAAGACAUAGACUCCUGAAGCAUUUACUGUUUUG
RNAcentral lists this small nuclear RNA (106 nucleotides) under Mesocricetus auratus (golden hamster). Lineage: Eukaryota; Metazoa; Chordata; Mammalia; Rodentia; Cricetidae. The record is from RNAcentral.